GCAAACUUGGUCAUUUAGAGGAAGUAAAAGUUGUAACAAGGUUUCCGUAGGUGAACCUGCGGAAGGAUCAUUAACAAAUCCAUACUUGUGGGAUGUCCAACAUCCUGCAAAUAUUAAUCCGCUGGCCUCGCAAGGGGCUGGUUGAUAGAUAACAUAAAUGUGUGUAGUGUUGACAGUGUGUGAUAUUUAAUAAUUAUAUUGACAACUUUUAACAAUGGAUCUCUAGGCUCUUGCAUCGAUGAAGAACGCAGC
Molecule: unclassified non-coding RNA, 252 nt
Filed under: uncultured fungus
Lineage: Eukaryota; Fungi
Description: partial contains small subunit ribosomal RNA, internal transcribed spacer 1, and 5.8S ribosomal RNA
Rfam family: Eukaryotic small subunit ribosomal RNA (bases 1-73)
Source: RNAcentral